UGAUUUUAACAGCCCGUAUGAGGUAACCU
This 29-nucleotide non-coding RNA is filed under the name Mus musculus (house mouse). Lineage: Eukaryota; Metazoa; Chordata; Mammalia; Rodentia; Muridae. The record is from RNAcentral.